GACGAACGCUGGCGGCGUGCCUAAUACAUGCAAGUCGAACGCUUCUUUUCCCACCGGAGCUUGCUCCACCGGGAAAAGAGGAGUGGCGAACGGGUGAGUAACACGUGGGUAACCUGCCCAUCAGAAGGGGAUAACACUUGGAAACAGGUGCUAAUACCGUAUAACAAUCGAAACCGCAUGGUUUCGUUUUGAAAGGCGCUUUACGGUGCCGCUGAUGGAUGGACCCGCGGUGCAUUAGCUAGUUGGUGAGGUAACGGCUCACCAAGGCCACGAUGCAUAGCCGACCUGAGAGGGUGAUCGGCCACAUUGGGACUGAGACACGGCCCAAACUCCUACGGGAGGCAGCAGUAGGGAAUCUUCGGCAAUGGACGAAAGUCUGACCGAGCAACGCCGCGUGAGUGAAGAAGGUUUUCGGAUCGUAAAACUCUGUUGUUAGAGAAGAACAAGGGUGAGAGUAACUGUUCACCCCUUGACGGUAUCUAACCAGAAAGCCACGGCUAACUACGUGCCAGCAGCCGCGGUAAUACGUAGGUGGCAAGCGUUGUCCGGAUUUAUUGGGCGUAAAGCGAGCGCAGGCGGUUUCUUAAGUCUGAUGUGAAAGCCCCCGGCUCAACCGGGGAGGGUCAUUGGAAACUGGGAGACUUGAGUGCAGAAGAGGAGAGUGGAAUUCCAUGUGUAGCGGUGAAAUGCGUAGAUAUAUGGAGGAACACCAGUGGCGAAGGCGGCUCUCUGGUCUGUAACUGACGCUGAGGCUCGAAAGCGUGGGGAGCAAACAGGAUUAGAUACCCUGGUAGUCCACGCCGUAAACGAUGAGUGCUAAGUGUUGGAGGGUUUCCGCCCUUCAGUGCUGCAGCUAACGCAUUAAGCACUCCGCCUGGGGAGUACGACCGCAAGGUUGAAACUCAAAGGAAUUGACGGGGGCCCGCACAAGCGGUGGAGCAUGUGGUUUAAUUCGAAGCAACGCGAAGAACCUUACCAGGUCUUGACAUCCUUUGACCACUCUAGAGAUAGAGCUUCCCCUUCGGGGGCAAAGUGACAGGUGGUGCAUGGUUGUCGUCAGCUCGUGUCGUGAGAUGUUGGGUUAAGUCCCGCAACGAGCGCAACCCUUAUUGUUAGUUGCCAUCAUUUAGUUGGGCACUCUAGCAAGACUGCCGGUGACAAACCGGAGGAAGGUGGGGAUGACGUCAAAUCAUCAUGCCCCUUAUGACCUGGGCUACACACGUGCUACAAUGGGAAGUACAACGAGUCGCGAAGUCGCGAGGCUAAGCUAAUCUCUUAAAGCUUCUCUCAGUUCGGAUUGUAGGCUGCAACUCGCCUACAUGAAGCCGGAAUCGCUAGUAAUCGCGGAUCAGCACGCCGCGGUGAAUACGUUCCCGGGCCUUGUACACACCGCCCGUCACACCACGAGAGUUUGUAACACCCGAAGUCGGUGAGGUAACCUUUUUGGAGCCAGCCGCCUAAGGUGGGAUAGAUGAUUGGGGUGAAG
Molecule: ribosomal RNA, 1486 nt
Filed under: Enterococcus mundtii
Lineage: Bacteria; Bacillati; Bacillota; Bacilli; Lactobacillales; Enterococcaceae
Description: 16S ribosomal RNA
Rfam family: Bacterial small subunit ribosomal RNA
Source: RNAcentral